RNAcentral lists this ribosomal RNA (492 nucleotides) under uncultured bacterium. RNAcentral describes it as "partial 16S ribosomal RNA". It matches the Rfam family "Bacterial small subunit ribosomal RNA", at positions 29 to 507 of the family's 1533-position model. The record is from RNAcentral.
AGUGAACGCUGGCGGUAGGCCUAACACAUGCAAGUCGAACGGCAGCACAGUAAGAGCUUGCUCUUACGGGUGGCGAGUGGCGGACGGGUGAGGAAUACAUCGGAAUCUACUUUUUCGUGGGGGAUAACGUAGGGAAACUUACGCUAAUACCGCAUACGACCUACGGGUGAAAGCAGGGGAUCUUCGGACCUUGCGCGAUUGAAUGAGCCGAUGUCGGAUUAGCUAGUUGGCGGGGUAAAGGCUCACCAAGGCGACGAUCCGUAGCUGGUCUGAGAGGAUGAUCAGCCACACUGGAACUGAGACACGGUCCAGACUCCUACGGGAGGCAGCAGUGGGGAAUAUUGGUCAAUGGGCGCAAGCCUGAUCCAGCCAUACCGCGUGGGUGAAGAAGGCCUUCGGGUUGUAAAGCCCUUUUGUUGGGAAAGAAAAGCAGCAGGUUAAUACCCCGCUGUUCUGACGGUACCCAAAGAAUAAGCACCGGCUAACUUCGUG